CAGUCGCCGCGGUAAUACGAAGGGUGCAAGCGUUAAUCGGAAUUACUGGGCGUAAAGCGUGCGUAGGCGGUUUGUUAAGUCUGCUGUGAAAUCCCCGGGCUCAACCUGGGAAUGGCAGUGGAUACUGGCAAGCUAGAGUGUGUCAGAGGAUGGUGGAAUUCCCGGUGUAGCGGUGAAAUGCGUAGAGAUCGGGAGGAACAUCAGUGGCGAAGGCGGCCAUCUGGGACAACACUGACGCUGAGGCACGAAAGCGUGGGGAGCAAACAGGAUUAGAUACCCCAGUAGUCCCUGUCUCUUAUAC
RNAcentral lists this ribosomal RNA (301 nucleotides) under uncultured bacterium. Its description in RNAcentral is "partial 16S ribosomal RNA". It matches the Rfam family "Bacterial small subunit ribosomal RNA", at positions 509 to 807 of the family's 1533-position model. The record is from RNAcentral.